GCUAAUACCGCAUACGACCUACGGGUGAAAGCAGGGGACCUUCGGGCCUUGCGCGAUUGAAUGAGCCGAUGUCGGAUUAGCUAGUUGGCGGGGUAAAGGCCCACCAAGGCGACGAUCCGUAGCUGGUCUGAGAGGAUGAUCAGCCACACUGGAACUGAGACACGGUCCAGACUCCUACGGGAGGCAGCAGUGGGGAAUAUUGGACAAUGGGCGCAAGCCUGAUCCAGCCAUACCGCGUGGGUGAAGAAGGCCUUCGGGUUGUAAAGCCCUUUUGUUGG
Molecule: ribosomal RNA, 278 nt
Filed under: Stenotrophomonas sp. IS1205
Lineage: Bacteria; Pseudomonadati; Pseudomonadota; Gammaproteobacteria; Lysobacterales; Lysobacteraceae
Also listed under: 2 other names
Description: partial 16S ribosomal RNA
Rfam family: Bacterial small subunit ribosomal RNA
Source: RNAcentral